This 492-nucleotide ribosomal RNA is filed under the name uncultured bacterium. RNAcentral describes it as "partial 16S ribosomal RNA". It matches the Rfam family "Bacterial small subunit ribosomal RNA", at positions 29 to 507 of the family's 1533-position model. The record is from RNAcentral.
AGUGAACGCUGGCGGUAGGCCUAACACAUGCAAGUCGAACGGCAGCACAGUAAGAGCUUGCUCUUACGGGUGGCGAGUGGCGGGCGGGUGAGGAAUACAUCGGAAUCUACUUUUUCGUGGGGGAUAACGUAGGGAAACUUACGCCAAUACCGCAUACGACCUACGGGUGAAAGCAGGGGACCUUCGGACCUUGCGCGAUUGAAUGAGCCGAUGUCGGAUUAGCUAGUUGGCGGGGUAAAGGCCCACCAAGGCGACGAUCCGUAGCUGGUCUGAGAGGAUGAUCAGCCACACUGGAACUGAGACACGGUCCAGACUCCUACGGGAGGCAGCAGUGGGGAAUAUUGGACAAUGGGCGCAAGCCUGAUCCAGCCAUACCGCGUGGGUGAAGAAGGCCUUCGGGUUGUAAAGCCCUUUUGUUGGGAAAGAAAAGCAGCAGGUUAAUACCCCGCUGUUCUGACGGUACCCAAAGAAUAAGCACCGGCUAACUUCGUG